UACGGAGGGUGCGAGCGUUGUCCGGAAUCACUGGGCGUAAAGGGCGCGUAGGUGGCGUCGCAAGUCAACGGUGAAAGCUCGACGCUCAACGUCGAGUCGGCCGUCGAGACUGCGAGGCUCGAGCACUGUAGAGGCAGAUGGAAUUCCGGGUGUAGCGGUGGAAUGCGUAGAGAUCCGGAAGAACACCGGUGGCGAAGGCGGUCUGCUGGGCAGUUGCUGACACUGAGGCGCGACAGCGUGGGGAGCAAACAGG
Molecule: ribosomal RNA, 253 nt
Filed under: uncultured bacterium
Lineage: Bacteria
Description: partial 16S ribosomal RNA
Rfam family: Bacterial small subunit ribosomal RNA
Source: RNAcentral